GAUUAACGCUGGCGGCAUGCCUAAUACAUGCAAGUCGAACGGAAGCAGCAAUGCUUUAGUGGCGAACGGGUGAGUAACACGUAGGGAACCUACCUAUACGACGAGGAUAACUACUGGAAACGGUAGCUAAAACUGGAUAGGAUCAAUUGAGGCAUCUUGAUUGAUUUAAAGAUCCUUCGGGAUUACGUAGAGAUGGCCCUGCGGCGCAUUAGCUAGUUGGUGAGGUAACGGCCCACCAAGGCGACGAUGCGUAGCUGAGCUGAGAGGCUAAACAGCCACACUGGGACUGAGACACGGCCCAGACUCCUACGGGAGGCAGCAGUAGGGAAUUUUCGGCAAUGGGGGAAACCCUGACCGAGCAACGCCGCGUGAGUGACGAAGGCCU
This 385-nucleotide ribosomal RNA is filed under the name uncultured bacterium. RNAcentral describes it as "bacterial SSU rRNA". It matches the Rfam family "Bacterial small subunit ribosomal RNA", at positions 28 to 417 of the family's 1533-position model. The record is from RNAcentral.